GGAGGUAUAGCUCAAGUGGUAGAGCGCAUGCUUAGUGUACACAAAGUCGUGGGUUCAAUCCCUAGUACCGCCA
RNAcentral lists this transfer RNA (73 nucleotides) under Camelus bactrianus (Bactrian camel). It matches the Rfam family "tRNA". From Rfam's summary of the family: Transfer RNA (tRNA) molecules are approximately 80 nucleotides in length. RNAcentral also lists the same sequence under 2 other names. Lineage: Eukaryota; Metazoa; Chordata; Mammalia; Artiodactyla; Camelidae. The record is from Rfam by way of RNAcentral.